RNAcentral lists this transfer RNA (72 nucleotides) under Macrotritopus defilippi. RNAcentral's name for it is "tRNA-Lys". The record is from RNAcentral. Lineage: Eukaryota; Metazoa; Mollusca; Cephalopoda; Octopoda; Octopodidae.
UAUUAAGUGGCCGAAACAUUAAGCACUAGACUUUUAAUCUAGUUUAUGAUUAUUAUCAAUAAUCCUUAAUGG